CUCAACUUGCUCGUUGUUGUGCAUGACCAUGUCUUCGACCCGAAUGCCUCGACCCCAAAGGUGUUCCUCGUACCUCGACGAUGACCUCAGGUCAGGCGGGAUCACCCACUGAGUUUAAGCAUAUCAAUAAGUGAAGGAAAAGAAACUUACAAGGAUUUUCCUACUAACGGUGAUUGAAUCGAUAAAAGCCCAACUUGAGAAUCGAAUGGCCCUACCAUUCGAAUUGUAGUCUGAAGAAACAUCCUCAAUGGUGGAUCGAGCUCAAGUCCCUUGGAAAGGGACGCCAUAAAGGGUGAGAACCCCAUUGUGCUCAAACCUUGUCGUAGGACGAGGCGCUAUUGACCAGUCGAUUGUUUGGGAAUGUAGCCCAAAUGGGCUGUAAAUUUCAUCCAAUGCUAAAUAUGGGUGAGAGACCGAUAGCAAACAAGUACCAUAAGGGAAAGAUGAAAACAACUUUGAAAAAAGAGUCAAAGAGUGCUUGAAAUUAUCUGAAGGAAAGCGAAUGGGGGUCGGUGAUGCAUCCCGAUAGGAUGUGGAAUGACGACGAGUCGGUUCGCCGAUCGAGUCAUGGUGUGGACCAGCACAAAUUGAGGAGGUGACCAACUCUUAGGCAAUCGAUAUGCCCAUGAAAUGUCAUCAUCUUGAUUAUGGGGGAUAGCGCGUGCCCUAAGCAUGCCUCAACACCUGCGUGCUCUCGGUGCUAGCCUACGGGCUCCCCAUUCUACUCAUCUUGAAACACUGACCAAGAAGUCUGACAUGUGUACGAGUCAAUGGCCGAGUAAACCCGAAAGGCGCAAGGAAGCUGAAUAGGGUGAUCCCCUCAAGGGGUGCAACACCGAUCGACCUCGAUCUUCUGAGAAGGGUUUAAGUGAGGGCAUACCUGUUAAGACCCGAAACAUGGUGAACUAUGCCUAAGAGGAUCGAAGCCAAAAAAAAUUAGUGGAGGCCCGUAGUGAUACUAAUGUACAAAUCAUUCAUCUGACAUGGGUAUAGAGACGAAAGACUAAUCGAACCAUCUAGUGGCUGGUUCCCUCCGAAAGUUUCCCUCAGGAUACCUGGAGCUUAAGCACGAGUUCGAUCAGAUAAAAUCAACGAUUAGAGGCAUCGAGGGCACAACACCCUCAGCCUAUUCUCAAACUUUAAAUAGGUAGGAUGGUGCGACUGCUUUGUUGAGCCACUCCACAAAAUCGAGAGCUCCAAGUGGGUCAUUUUUGGUAAGUAGAACUGGCGAUGUGGGAUGAAUAGAAAGUUCAUUUACGGUGCCUAACUGCAUGCAAACCUAGAUCCCACAAAGGGUGUUUGUCAAUUAAGAUAGUAGGACGAUGGUCAUGGAAGUUGAAAUUCGGUAAGAACUUUGUAACAACUCAUCUGUCGAAUCAACAAGCCCCAAAAAUGGAUGGUACUGAAGUGCGUGACUUAUACCCGAUGGUUGACGAUAAUGUUAGGGAGUCCGGAGACAUCGUCGAGGGCCUUAGAAAGAGUUAUCUUUUCUAUUUAAUAGUCUGUCCACCCUAGAAAUGGCUCGAUCGGAGGUAGGGUUCAGCGACUAGAAAAGCAUCACACGUCUCCUGAUGUUCGGUGUGCCCCCAGUGACCCGUGAAAAUCCAGAAGACCGAGUACCAUCCGCACCCGAUCGUACUCAUAACUGCAUCAGGUCUCCAAGGUAAAAAAACCUCUGGUCAAUGGAACAAUGUAGGCAAGAGAAGUCAGUAAAAUGGAUCCGUAAGCUCGGGAAAAGGAUUGGCUCUAACGGCUGGGCAUGGGGGUCCCAGUCCUGAACCCAUCGACUAUCGAUGGACUAUUCGAUCUGCUCCCGCGAUGAGAGCGGGCUGACGCAUGCCGAUCGGGGGACGAACUGGGAACAUUUCCUUCGGGGGCCUUCUCCGAACGUCGAACGGUCGACUAAGAACUAGUAUAGAGAAGGGAAAUCCGACCGUUUAAUUAAAACAAAGGAUUGCAAUGGUCCCCGUGGAUGCUCAUGCAACUUAAUUUCUGCCCAGUGCUCUGAAUGUCAAAGUGAAGAAAUUCAACCAGGCGCGGGUAAAUGGCGGGAGUAACUAUGACUCUUCUAAGGUAACCAAAUGCCUCAUCAUUUAAUUAGUGAUGCACAUGAAUAGGUCAAUGAGAUUUCCCACUAUCCCUGUCUACUAUCCAGCGAAACCACAGCCAAGGGAACGGGCUUGGCAAAAUCGACGGGGAAAGAAGACCCUAUUGCGCUUGACUCUAGUUUGACUUUGUAAAAUGACUUGAGAGGUGUAGAAUAAGUGGGAACCAAAAGGCAAAAGAGAAAUACCACUACUUUUAACAUUAUUUUACUUAUUUCGUGAAUCGGAGGCGGGCACUGCUCCUCAUUUUGGACCUAAGGCUCGCUUCGUGGGCUGAUCCGGGUGGAAUACAUUGUCAGGUGGGGAGUUUGACUGGGAUGGCAAAUCUGUUAAAAGAUAAUGCAGGUGUCCAAAGAUGAGCUCAAAGAGAACAGAAAUCUAGUUUGGAAUAGAAGGGUAAAAGCUCAUUUAAUUCUGAUUUCUAGUACGAAUACGAAUCGUGAAAGCGUGGCCUAACGAUCCUUUAGACCUUUGAAAUUUGAGACUAGAGGUGUCGAAAAGUUACCACAGGGAUAACUGGCUAGUGGCAGCCAAGCGUUCAUAGCGACGUUGCUUUUUGAUCCUUUAAUGUUGGCUCUUCUUAUCAUUGUGAAGCAAAAUUCACCAAGUGUUGGAUUGUACACCCACCAUUAGGGAACAUGAGCUGGAUUAUGACUGAAUGCUUGAUAGGUUAGUUUUAUCCUACUGAUGAUAGGGUCGUAAUAGUAAUUCAACCUAGUACGAGAGAAACCAUUGAUUCGCACAAUUGGUCAUCACACUUGGUUGAAAAGCGAGUGGCGUGAAGCUACCGUGCGCUAGAUUAUGAUUGAAUGACUCUAAGUCAGAAUUCAGGCUAGAGGCGAUGCGUACACCUGUCGAUCGCUUUCUGACCCACAGUAGGGGCCUUACGGCCCCCAGGGGUACAUGUCAUUGGCCAAGCUCUC
Molecule: ribosomal RNA, 3028 nt
Filed under: Olea europaea subsp. europaea
Lineage: Eukaryota; Viridiplantae; Streptophyta; Magnoliopsida; Lamiales; Oleaceae
Description: LSU_rRNA_archaea
Rfam family: Eukaryotic large subunit ribosomal RNA
Source: RNAcentral